This 700-nucleotide ribosomal RNA is filed under the name uncultured bacterium. Its description in RNAcentral is "bacterial SSU rRNA". It matches the Rfam family "Bacterial small subunit ribosomal RNA", at positions 94 to 828 of the family's 1533-position model. The record is from RNAcentral.
AGUGGCGGACGGGUGAGUAACGCGUAAGAAUCUAACUUCAGGACGGGGACAACAGUUGGAAACGACUGCUAAUACCCGAUGUGCCGCAAGGUGAAACCUAAUUGGCCUGGAGAAGAGCUUGCGUCUGAUUAGCUAGUUGGUGGGGUAAAGGCCUACCAAGGCGACGAUCAGUAGCUGGUCUGAGAGGAUGAGCAGCCACACUGGGACUGAGACACGGCCCAGACUCCUACGGGAGGCAGCAGUGGGGAAUUUUCCGCAAUGGGCGAAAGCCUGACGGAGCAACGCCGCGUGAGGGAGGAAGGUCUUUGGAUUGUAAACCUCUUUUCUCAAGGAAGAAGUUCUGACGGUACUUGAGGAAUCAGCCUCGGCUAACUCCGUGCCAGCAGCCGCGGUAAUACGGGGGAGGCAAGCGUUAUCCGGAAUUAUUGGGCGUAAAGCGUCCGCAGGUGGUCAGCCAAGUCUGCCGUCAAAUCAGGUUGCUUAACGACCUAAAGGCGGUGGAAACUGGCAGACUAGAGAGCAGUAGGGGUAGCAGGAAUUCCCAGUGUAGCGGUGAAAUGCGUAGAGAUUGGGAAGAACAUCGGUGGCGAAAGCGUGCUACUGGGCUGUAUCUGACACUCAGGGACGAAAGCUAGGGGAGCGAAAGGGAUUAGAUGCCCCUGUAGUCCUAGCCGUAAACGAUGGAUACUAGGCGUGGCUU